RNAcentral lists this long non-coding RNA (1026 nucleotides) under Equus caballus (horse). RNAcentral's name for it is "lncRNA (ENSECAG00000047041.1)". Lineage: Eukaryota; Metazoa; Chordata; Mammalia; Perissodactyla; Equidae. The record is from RNAcentral.
CAGGGAGUCAGAGCGAGAUCCGUAUCGUGAUGGGUAAAGCAGAACUGCUCAUUCUGGGGUUUGUUGGGCCCCAAGGAGUUGCCUGCUUCCUUCCUCACCUGGGACCAAUUAACUAUAUUGAAGUGGAACUUGGGCUUCCAAGACAAUCCAGCAGGCCCAUUUAGAUAGCGGUAGACUAGUCAAAAGUCUUGAUAACAUUCUUUUCUUCUAAAGUUGUUAGAAUAAAACAGUGUGUCAUAUUUAUCCCUUCCUCUGCCAGGAAAGGUUUCCUGAUGUUCUCGGUUGAAAUUAAUUUUCCCCUCCCUGUACUCCCAUAGCCCAUCGCUUGUGCUUUUAUUCCAGUGUUUCCCAGGGUCAUCCUUAUUAGCAUUAUUUAUGUGCAUGUCUGUCUCCUCUCCCAGAUCAUGAGCUCCUGGAGGGAAGAAACUGCAGUUUAUUCAUCUCUAUCCCCCAUGGACUGUGCGCAGGGCCCCGCACAUCAAUUUUCCAUGGAAAUCAUGGAACGACAAGAAUGGAACUGAAGGGAGUCAUGAGAAUGCAAAGGGGAAUAACCUCAAAUGACCACUGAAUUCAAGUACCUAGCAUGUGUAGGCAGUGCUGUGGGGCAUAUGGUACGUUACGUGGAAUUCAUUUAAGUGUAUGAAAGGCAACAUGAUAUAGUGGAAAGAACAUGAACUUGGAGUCAGAAAUCUGAGUUCAAAUCACUUUGACUCUUACUUGACCUCUGGCAGGUUACGUGAACUCUUUGAUCCUGUUUCUUCAUCUGUAGCAUGUGAAUGAUGACAUCUUAUAUGGUUCUGCUGGUAGGUAAGUCAGAUAAUGAACAUAAGAGCCUCACAAAUCUACUGGGGGCAUGCCUAUAGUCUAGUACACGAGGGAUGAAAAAUUUGAGACUUAUUUUUCCUUCCUCAUCAAGCAUAAGCGCUGAACCUCAAUCAACCUUCAGUCUAGUUUGGGAAGUAACUCUAACAUUCUAGAUAUUUUGAAGAUUGCUGAACAAAUAUUCAGUGUUAAUGCAUUAUUAAA